Non-coding RNA from Cyanistes caeruleus (blue tit), 148 nucleotides. The record is from RefSeq and is a predicted model, not a curated record. Lineage: Eukaryota; Metazoa; Chordata; Aves; Passeriformes; Paridae.
UUUUGUGAAUUUCCCCCCCUCAGGAAUCGUCGGAGCCGCCGCGGAAAAAGAGAAAAAAACCCAAAAUGGGGAAAAGAAAAGGGAGAAAAGGUUUUCGCCGUCGCCGCUGAAUUCGCCAAUAAAACGUCGUGGCCUCGUUUGCAUCUCA